Molecule: long non-coding RNA, 853 nt
Organism: Apis florea (little honeybee)
Lineage: Eukaryota; Metazoa; Arthropoda; Insecta; Hymenoptera; Apidae
Source: RefSeq, a predicted model, not a curated record
AAGCAGGUGCUAAAACCACUCGAAGCUGGCCAUAAAAUUAAAUAACGAAAUCCUCGCACGUACCAUCCACCGUCCAAUGAAAAUUCCCAUCGAGAUACACCUCUCGAGUUUUCUCGAACCAAACUUUCCUUUCCUCUAUUACCAUUACAAACACUUCCUCGACCGCUCGAGGAAGCUACUUGAGAUACGUCUGGCAAUCGACGUACUUGCCAUCGAAUACCAUCGAGCGACAUCGUUCGAAGAGGAGGAAAAAAGAAGAAAAAAGAAAAAAAACAAAAAAAAGAAGAAAAAAGAAAAUAAGAGAAGAAAAAAGAAGAAGAAAAAGAGGAGGAAGGAUAGAGACGAGGUAUUUCUCAGGGAGGAGGAAGCAACCAGAAAGAGACGUGAUGUCUGCGCGAAUCGGAUGAUCGAUGGUCGAUCGUCCAAGCCAUCGAUCACCAGCGACCUCGCGUCAUCGCGCAUCGAUGGCUGCGGUCUCGCUUCCGGUAUCUGGACGGUGAACGGAGACAUUCUCGAGACACACCGAGUUGGUUUCCACGAUGGAGGAACGCGGGGCGCGAAUACUUUAAUGAUGCUGUUGAAACAGAAAUUGAUACGCCAGAAGGAAGGUGGUGCAACACGGCUACAGCCGACCCACUUAAACAGCUUCUAUAUCGGCGAAGAAACAAGGCGGAAUGCUACCAAUGCUACGGGGACUUUCACUCGGAAGGCUCGUGAGCCAAGUUGGGACCAAGGCGAUCGAUUGUUUUCGAAAGGUCGCCGUCCGGUCCACCAUUAGCGGUUUCCCAUUAGUGCUUAACCUCCUCCCUUUGGGAAUUGUUUAAAGGUCACGCCGAGAUUAUUCGUCAUUUUU